UUUCCGUAGGUGAACCUGCGGAAGGAUCAUUAAUGAGUUGUCAUGGGGUUCGAUGCUGGCAGCCAGUCUUUGGAUGCAUGUGCUUGCCCUAACAAUCAUCUUCCAAACACCUGUGCACAUUUUUGAGGGAGUCUUGAGUUGGUUGCCGCUCUUGGGUGAUUUUCUCACAUUCCCUUAAAUCAUUAUACGCUAUUAACAAUGUUGAACGUGCUCUGUGCCGCAAGGCUAUUAAUAUAAUACAACUUUUAACAACGGAUCUCUUGGCUCUC
RNAcentral lists this unclassified non-coding RNA (269 nucleotides) under plant metagenome. RNAcentral describes it as "partial contains small subunit ribosomal RNA, internal transcribed spacer 1, and 5.8S ribosomal RNA". The record is from RNAcentral.